CCUGCCCAAUGAUGUAAAAUUUAAUGGCCGCGGUAUAUUGACUGUGCGAAGGUAGCAUAAUAAUUAGUUCUUUAAUUGGGAGCUAGAAUGAAAGGUUGAACAAAAAGUUAACUGUCUUUAAAUUAAACCUUGAAUUUAACAUUUAAGUGAAAAGGCUUAAAUAUUUUAGGGGGACGAUAAGACCCUAUAAAUCUUUAUAUUUAAGUUUAUAAAAUAAAAGAAUAAAAAUAUAUUUUGUUUGAUAGGUUUAAAUAUUUUGUUGGGGCGACAAGAGUAUAAAAUGUAACUGCUUUAAAAUAAUAGUUAAACGGUGUUUAAUUGUGUGAUCCUUUAGUAAAGAGUAUUAGUUUAAGUUACUUUAGGGAUAACAGCGUAAUUUUUUUUGAGAGUUCAUAUUGAGAAAAAAGUUUGCGACCUCCGAUGUUGAAUUAAAGAUCCUUUACGGUGCACAAGUUGUAAAAGGAGGUCUGUUCGACCUUUAAAUCUUUACGUGA
RNAcentral lists this ribosomal RNA (494 nucleotides) under Crenarctus crenatus. RNAcentral's name for it is "partial large subunit ribosomal RNA". It matches the Rfam family "Bacterial large subunit ribosomal RNA", at positions 1858 to 2603 of the family's 2925-position model. Lineage: Eukaryota; Metazoa; Arthropoda; Malacostraca; Decapoda; Scyllaridae. The record is from RNAcentral.